AUGGAGCAUAGCCAAGUGGUAAGGCAUCCGUUUAUGGUACCGACAUGCAAAGGUUUGAAUCCUUUGACUCCAUA
This 74-nucleotide transfer RNA is filed under the name Amborella trichopoda. RNAcentral describes it as "tRNA AMTR_s00004t00278760". It matches the Rfam family "tRNA". From Rfam's summary of the family: Transfer RNA (tRNA) molecules are approximately 80 nucleotides in length. Their secondary structure includes four short double-helical elements and three loops (D, anti-codon, and T loops). The record is from RNAcentral. Lineage: Eukaryota; Viridiplantae; Streptophyta; Magnoliopsida; Amborellales; Amborellaceae.